UGCAAGUCGAACGGCACCCCUCUCCGGAGGGAAGCGAGUGGCGAACGGCUGAGUAACACGUGGAGAACCUGCCCCUCCCCCGGGAUAGCCGCCCGAAAGGACGGGUAAUACCGGAUACCCCCGGGCGCCGCAUGGCGCCCGGGCUAAAGCCCCGACGGGAGGGGAUGGCUCCGCGGCCCAUCAGGUAGACGGCGGGGUGACGGCCCACCGUGCCGACAACGGGUAGCCGGGUUGAGAGACCGACCGGCCAGAUUGGGACUGAGACACGGCCCAGACUCCUACGGGAGGCAGCAUG
RNAcentral lists this ribosomal RNA (295 nucleotides) under uncultured bacterium. RNAcentral's name for it is "partial 16S ribosomal RNA". It matches the Rfam family "Bacterial small subunit ribosomal RNA", at positions 56 to 353 of the family's 1533-position model. The record is from RNAcentral.